This 954-nucleotide ribosomal RNA is filed under the name uncultured cyanobacterium. RNAcentral describes it as "bacterial SSU rRNA". It matches the Rfam family "Bacterial small subunit ribosomal RNA", at positions 9 to 1009 of the family's 1533-position model. Lineage: Bacteria; Bacillati; Cyanobacteriota. The record is from RNAcentral.
GAGUUUGAUUCUGGCUCAGGAUGAGCGCUGGCGGUAUGCCUAACACAUGCAAGUCGAACGAAAUCUUCGGAUUUAGUGGCGGACGGGUGAGUAACGCGUGAGAAUCUGCCUUCAGGAUGGGGACAACAGUUAGAAAUGACUGCUAAUACCCAAUGUGCCGCAAGGUGAAAGUUUUUCGCCUGAAGAGGAGCUCGCGUCCGAUUAGCUAGUUGGGGUGGUAAAAGCGCACCAAGGCAACGAUCGGUAGCUGGUCUGAGAGGAUGAGCAGCCACACUGGGACUGAGACACGGCCCAGACUCCUACGGGAGGCAGCAGUGGGGAAUUUUCCGCAAUGGGCGCAAGCCUGACGGAGCAAUACCGCGUGAGGGAGGAAGGCUUUUGGGUUGUAAACCUCUUUUCUCAAGGAAGAAGCACUGACGGUACUUGAGGAAUCAGCAUCGGCUAACUCCGUGCCAGCAGCCGCGGUAAUACGGAGGAUGCAAGCGUUAUCCGGAAUUAUUGGGCGUAAAGCGUCCGCAGGUGGUACAUCAAGUCUGCUGUCAAAGACUAGGGCUUAACCCUGGAGCGGCAGUGGAAACUGAUGAACUAGAGUACGGUAGGGGUAGAGGGAAUUCCCAGUGUAGCGGUGAAAUGCGUAGAGAUUGGGAAGAACACCAGUGGCGAAGGCGCUCUACUGGACCUGUACUGACACUCAGGGACGAAAGCUAGGGGAGCGAAAGGGAUUAGAUACCCCUGUAGUCCUAGCUGUAAACGAUGGAUACUAGGCGUUGCUUGUAUCGACCCGAGCAGUGCCGUAGCUAACGCGUUAAGUAUCCCGCCUGGGGAGUACGCACGCAAGUGUGAAACUCAAAGGAAUUGACGGGGGCCCGCACAAGCGGUGGAGUAUGUGGUUUAAUUCGAUGCAACGCGAAGAACCUUACCAGGACUUGACAUCCGCGAAUCUCUGGGAAACUA